This 833-nucleotide long non-coding RNA is filed under the name Olea europaea subsp. europaea. Lineage: Eukaryota; Viridiplantae; Streptophyta; Magnoliopsida; Lamiales; Oleaceae. The record is from RNAcentral.
CAAUGCUAUAAAAUUAACGAUACAUAAUAAAACUUUAAAUUUUUGAAAAAAGUAAAAAUAUAUUUCAAAUUGAAUUCAUAAAACAAAGGGAAUAUUAGAAAGUAAAUUAAUCUAUGUCUUCCAAUACACCAUCUUAAUCAAAUGGUUAAUAUUCCUAUUUGGAUAAAAAAAAGAAAUCAGAGACGUUCAAAUGUGUCACAUAAAUUAGAUUAUCAUAAUCAGCAAAAUUUGUUUCACUUUUCCAUUUUUCUUGAUUUUUGGUAGAGAUCUACAAAAUGUUUUAUCAUAUGACAGGUACGUGUUCAAUGCCAUUUCAUUCUAUAUGUAUAGCAACUUUUUUCGUACUCAUUUUUAGAUGUGUUACUUAAAUUUUCUUUGUAAUUUUUGAAAUUGUUGUUUUAUUACUGAUAAUUUUGUCUAUAAUUUAUUCCAAGUGUACGUCUGCUUCUAUGUUCACGUUCAAAUUCAUGUCCUUGUCUUAAUAUUGCAUUUGUUUUAGGUAAUAUAGUUUCAUUUGUUUUGGGCAAUCGUACAGAACCAGUUGGACGUAACCUAAAUUUUUCUUCAGCAGUUAUUAUUUUGUUCAGUUACAACACAGACAAGAUAUAAGUUCUGAGUAUUUUUUGAAAUCUCGCUCACAAUAUUCCUAUAGCAGGAGCCCAAUCGAGGCAUGAAAUGUGGAAAAGUUUUUUCCUAACAUAUUUUCAUUAGUGACUUUUUCUCCACACAAAGUCAAUUUUGAACAUAUUUUGAAUAGUUUAUAAUUGUAUUCAUUAACGGUUUUGAAGUUUUGCAAACAAAGGCGUAUCUACUCAUAGCGGCAAGGACGGAUU